AGUGAACGCUGGCGGUAGGCCUAACACAUGCAAGUCGAACGGCAGCACAGUAAGAGCUUGCUCUUACGGGUGGCGAGUGGCGGACGGGUGAGGAAUACAUCGGAAUCUACUUUUUCGUGGGGGAUAACGUAGGGAAACUUACGCUAAUACCGCAUACGACCUACGGGUGAAAGCAGGGGAGCUUCGGACCUUGCGCGACUGAAUGAGCCGAUGUCGGAUUAGCUAGUUGGCGGGGUAAAGGCCCACCAAGGCGACGAUCCGUAGCUGGUCUGAGAGGAUGAUCAGCCACACUGGAACUGAGACACGGUCCAGACUCCUACGGGAGGCAGCAGUGGGGAAUAUUGCACAAAGGGCGCAAGCCUGAUCCAGCCAUACCGCGUGAGUGAAGAAGGCCUUCGGGUUGUAAAGCCCUUUUGUUGGGAAAGAAAAGCAGCAGGUUAAUCCCCCGCUGUUCUGACGGUACCCAAAGAAUAAGCACCGGCUAACUUCGUG
This 492-nucleotide ribosomal RNA is filed under the name uncultured bacterium. RNAcentral's name for it is "partial 16S ribosomal RNA". It matches the Rfam family "Bacterial small subunit ribosomal RNA", at positions 29 to 507 of the family's 1533-position model. The record is from RNAcentral.